AUCCUGGCUCAGAUUGAACGCUGCGGGCAUGCCUUACACAUGCAAAGUCGAACGGCAGCACGGGAGCAAUCCUGGUGGCGAGUGGCGAACGGGUGAGUAAUAUAUCGGAACGUGCCCAGUCGUGGGGGAUAACGUAGCGAAAGCUACGCUAAUACCGCAUACGAUCUACGGAUGAAAGCGGGGGAUCGCAAGACCUCGCGCGAUUGGAGCGGCCGAUAUCAGAUUAGCUAGUUGGUGGGGUAAAGGCCCACCAAGGCGACGAUCUGUAGCUGGUCUGAGAGGACGACCAGCCACACUGGAACUGAGACACGGUCCAGACUCCUACGGGAGGCAGCAGUGGGGAAUUUUGGACAAUGGGCGCAAGCCUGAUCCAGCAAUGCCGCGUGCAGGAUGAAGGCCUUCGGGUUGUAAACUGCUUUUGUACGGAACGAAACGGUCCUUUCUAAUACAAGGGGCUAAUGACGGUACCGUAAGAAUAAGCACCGGCUAACUACGUG
This 497-nucleotide ribosomal RNA is filed under the name uncultured bacterium. Its description in RNAcentral is "bacterial SSU rRNA". It matches the Rfam family "Bacterial small subunit ribosomal RNA", at positions 16 to 507 of the family's 1533-position model. The record is from RNAcentral.